CUGGGCCAGUGGCCUAAUCCAAACUGAAUGCUAAUGGGCAGCCCCGUGCCUGAAGUGAAGCAGAAUAGCGUAAAUUAACAGGCUCCUUUUGCUCAUUGGCAGCUCUGAGCCAUCUGUCCUGUUUUCUGUUUGGAGACCAAAACUAAAAGGUAACUGGGCUAUGAGGACAGCCAAUAUUUUGGCCCUGGCCCCUCAAGGUCAACAAAGUUCCAGGACAUGAGGGAACCUUCUCUACAGGGUCCUACAUCUUUGAAACGAUUGAGGGCAUUCACCAGCCAGACAGCCACAGAGUUCAUCAUGGCAGGGUAUCAGCCAGUACGGCAAAAGGAAGAGGUCCCCACUUGCCACUGACCUCAUCAGAUCCAGGUCUAGCCCCGAUCUUCGCCCCUUGUCAGCAGGAAGCAGCUCCAGAAGAAGAGACCUUCGCCCAACUGUCAUAAAACAAAAGCCUGGAAUGAUAGGUCUCCCACCACCUCAGCAGCUAUUAAGUACAGUAGCUGCCCUCUUCCUAUGGUGCCUUGCCCCCUCCCCUGUGUGACAUCAUGCCAAGAUGGUUGCUCCCACCAAAGAACAAACCCUUCUUCCCAGCAUGCCCCUGUUCCAACCUAGACAGUAACCUAAUACUUGCUCACCUCCUACCACCUAGUGACAUCACCGGCUCCUCCAUUCCUUAGUCACUACCUCACUCAACCCCGCCUCAGCCCCUACAAGCCCCACCCCAGUCUCUAUAAAAGACUCUCCCUGCCCCAGCCAUAUUGCUUUUGUCUCUCCUUUGUUCAGAGACAGCCCGGCAGAUCUAUUCCCCUAAUAAAGGCUUGCUGUGGCCUGGUCUGGUCUUGGUCUUCGGCCCUUUUACCUGACACUUACCCAUGCGAGGGUCUCUGAUGAGCUGUGUGUGUGAUCCAGGGAUCAGCUCCUCUGCCGUACGUGUCGCCUCCUGGAAGCAACUGAUGCCGUCUGCCACCGCAGUCCCUUCCCUGAUCUGUGGGUAGCUGGCAGCUUCUCGUGGUUACGAUCUGUGCUUUAAUCUUUGCAAUUUUCAGGAACCUCAACGAUAAGAAAUGUGAGUAAUUAAAGUUCUCAAAUUUGCCAAGUGGUUUACCAAGUGAGUGCAAACACAGGUAAGCUUUUUGUGCCCUAAGUACUACUUAAACGUCUUUACUUUUGAAAAUUAUCAAUCCCAUCUGGAAUUUGAAUAGACACCAAGUUGUCACUUAGAAGUAGAAACUGGCAGCCUAGAGACCUAUGCCCGCCAGAGCCUAGAAAACCACACGGGGCCGCAGUGCUGUGCUGCCAGGCCUGGCUGUAGGACUUCUGUGGCCCAGAGCCCCCCAUCUGUGAGCAGAAGUUUCCCCACUUGACAGGUGGAUACAACCACCCCUUGCUUAAGACAAGGGGUGCGAACAAGCACUUUUGUGUUUAGCCAUUGUUAGGAUGUAGAUCAAACAUGUCCCUCAGAAGUCUGCUGCCUGUGGAACAUGACUGGAUCAUGGGGUGCUGUACUCAUCAUUAGAUUCCCCCACUGAAUUGUACAGUAGCUGAGUGUGCUGUUAGGAGGGACUUGGGUGAAGGUGGUCACUGGGGGUGGGACCUGGAAGGUGCAUUCCUGUCCUUGCUCCUCCCUUCUCACUGUUUCCUGGCUGCCAUGAGGUGAACAGCUUUCCUCUGCCCUGCCCUUCCACCAGGCUGUUUCUGCCUUGGAGCUGAUCAAUCAUGGACUGAAUCUCUGGCAACUGUGAGCCAAAACAAGCCUCUCCUCCUUUAAGCUGUGGGUGUGGGGCUGUGUCCCAAAGCUCACCAAUACAGGUAAUAAAGGAAUCAAAUUCGUGUAUUGAACCCACGCAGCACUUUUCUCUUGUCCACUCACCUGCAUUUGGUCUCUCCUGGAAAAAUACCAGAGCACAUGAGCUUAGCACUGUUUCCCAAUGUUCUUCUUGAGCUUCUAGGUCCUCCUUAUAGGGGAGGCACAGUAGAGUAGGAUCUGCAAUUCCAUUUGGAAGCAAAGAAACAUGACUGGCUUCACAGGUGAUGCAUGAACUUGAUUCUUUCCAUGAUUCUGGUCAAAUUGGACAAGAACCAAGUCAAAUUUAAUGGUUAAGUUCAAUGUUGAUCCUAUGGGGAAAUUUG
Molecule: long non-coding RNA, 2127 nt
Filed under: Heterocephalus glaber (naked mole-rat)
Lineage: Eukaryota; Metazoa; Chordata; Mammalia; Rodentia; Bathyergidae
Description: lncRNA (ENSHGLG00100034844.1)
Source: RNAcentral